Rhododendron vialii is the source of this 5755-nucleotide long non-coding RNA. RefSeq lists it as uncharacterized. Lineage: Eukaryota; Viridiplantae; Streptophyta; Magnoliopsida; Ericales; Ericaceae. The transcript has 2 exons. The record is from RefSeq and is a predicted model, not a curated record.
GAGCACACCUUGAAAUCCACAAGGAAAAGGAGAGAGACUCCAAGAUUUUGUUGAUAGUUGAAUGAAUUACAAGGAGGGUUGCACCCUUAUUUAUACUAGUAGUAGGUCUAGCUAAAAAGAAAAUGCUUGGCUACCAAGAAUAUUACUUGGAGUAGGGACCAAGUAAAAGAAAAUGCUUGGCUACCAAGAAUAUAACUUGGAGUAAGGACCAAGCAAAACAAAAUAAGGAAAUAAAAAAAACAAAAACUCUCAGGAAACUAGAAUAUUAAGUAUACUCUAUGAUUAAAUUAUUUCCUCUUCAAUUUAGCAUGGUCCAAUUGUUCCAGAAAUAUCUCGGCCACUUGUUCUACAUCAGUCCCCUCUUCUUGGAAAGAACUCGACCUCGAGUUCAAAUCUGGAUAGAGACACUCUUCUGCAUGAUACUCAAACAAGUCUGCUACGUUGAAGGUCUUGGAAAUCUUCAUGUCUUCAGGCAAGUCAAUCAUAUAGGCAUUGUCGUUGAUCCUCUUCAAAACCUUAUAUGGACCAUACUUCCUCGGCUUCAACUUCUUGUGGGUACCCACUGGAAACCUCUUCUUCCGCAAGAACACCAUCACAUAAUCACCAUCUUUGAACAAUUUGGCACGCCUGCGCUGUUAGCUGCUCCUUUGUACUUUGCAUUUGUGUUUGCCAAGUUCUGUUUCACUUGGUCAUGCACUUCUUGAGCCUGAUUGGCCAUUGUCUUAGCUGCAACACUAAUUCUAGGACCUCGCAAAAGAUGAACUAAGUCUACUGCAUGCUUUGGAGGUGUCACAUAUACCAAGGAGAAAGGUGAUUUUCCUGUGGCACUGUGAAAUGCACUAUUAAAGCCAAACUCAGCCUGCGGCAAUGCAUAGUCCCACUGUUUCAGCUUGUCCCCACAAAUGCUGCAAAUCAAAUUCGUCAAACUUCGAUUAGUCACCUCUGUUUGACCGUUAGUUUGUGGAUGUGUAGUAGAACUCCUCUUCAGCGACGUACCAAUAUCUUCCCCAAAGUCACCCAAAAGUGACUAAGGAACUUCACAUCACAGUCAGAAGUAAUUGACUGUGGAACCCCAUGCAACCGAACCACUUCACAAAAGAACAACCGAGCCACAUGCAAGGCAUCAGAUGUCUUUCGGCAAGCGAUGAAGUGCAUCAUUUGGAAAACCUGUUCACCACCACAAAUACAGAAUCUACUCCCCGUUGGGUACGAGGCAGACCCAACACAAAAUCCAUUGACAAGUCUUCCCAAAUAUUGUUAGGAACAGAUAAAGGCAUAUAAAGACUAGUAUUUUGAGCUUGACCCUUAGAUACUUGAUAGAUAUAGCACCUUUGCACGAAGUUUCUAGUAUCCCGCUUCAAUGGAGGCCAUAAAUACCUCUCCUCCAAGCUUGCAAUGGUUUUUAUCUCAGAUUAAGCUUUCCCUUAGAGAAGUCUUGGGAAUGCAGAGACGAUUGCCUCGAAAUAAGUACCCAUCAGUAACAUGAAAGUCACUAACAGGUCGAUUUUGAUCACACACUGCCCAAAUUUCCUUGAAAUCAUCAUCCUCCGGGUACAGCUCCUUUAAGAACUCAAAACCCACAAUCUCAUGGGCCAAAGUGACUAUCAGAUCAGCUCGACGACUCUGCAUCUGCCACAUGAUUCGUUACCUAGAUUUAUGUUGAAUGGUGAAAGGAAACUUCUGCAAAAACGUAGUCCAGCGUACAUGCAUGCUAUCCAACUUCUUUUGGCUAUUGAUGAACUCUAACGCCUAAUGAUCAGUAUACAGAAUGAACUCCCUUUGAAUCAAAUAGUGCUCCCAAUGCUUGAGUGUGUGCACCACAGCAUAGAACUCUUGGUCAUAUGUGCUCCACGUCUGCCUCGCUUCACUUUGUUUUUCACUAAAGAAAGCGACAAGCCUUGUCACGACCCGCGCCAGCUGACCUGCUAACUUUUCGCCUAACCACGUGGCUCAAAAGGUUAACCUCAGGUUAUUAGUAGCUGGUGGGCCUUUCCUUAUAUACCACCUAAUUUUUUCUCUAACUUCCAAUGUGGGACAUUACAAUCUCCCCAUCUUGGUUGCAACGUCCCCGUUGCAUCAUGUGGUCCAACAACUUCCACUCACCAAGCGAUGUAGGACAAGUACCCGCUUAAGUGUGUCAAGCUCCUCAAGCUUGUCUCAUGUGGGACCCGCCCAAGUACGACAAGCACCUCAAGCUCCUCACUUGUCGGGCCCAUCCAAGCACGUCUCCUCGUGGGACCCGCCCCUACAUUUUCGGUUGGUGCAAGCUCUGAUACCACCUGUCACAACCCGCACACUUGCUUACCCUUUGCCUAACCACGUGGCUCAAAAGGUUAACUUCAGGUAGCUGGUGGGCCUUUGCUUAUAAACCACCUAAUUUUUCCUCUAACUUCCGAUGUGGGACAUUACAGGCCUCUUCUCUUGGGACAAAACAACCCUAAUAUCAAUCCCACUAGCAUCACACUCAACUUCAAAAAUCUUCUCAAAACUAGGUAGAGCUAGUACCGGAGCGGUGCACAACUUCUCCUUAGCCAAGGCAAAACUCUUUUCCGCCUCUUCUCCCCGUAUAAACUUGCAUUUCUUCAAACAUUCUGUGAUUGGAACCACAAUAGUACUGAAAUUUCGAGUGAAGCGUCUAUAAAAAGUGGCCAACCCAUGGAAGCUUUGAACCUCAGCAACGGUCUUGGGAGCUGGCCAAUCGCGAAUGGCUCGAACCUUAUCUUCAUCAACAUGGAUCCCUUCGGAGCUAAUCACAUAGCCCAAGAAUAUUAAACUGCUCGUCAAGAAACUGCUCUUCUUGAGUUGAAUGUACAGUUUAUUUUCCUGCAGCACCAUCAGCACUUGGCGCACGUGCCCCACAUGCUCCUCCUUGGACCUGCUGUAAAUUAUUAUAAACGAUGACAAAUUUUCUAGUGAAAGGCCGCAAAACCUAAUUCAUCACCCGCACAAAGGUGCUUGGAGCAUUGGAAAGGCCGAACAGCAUAACCAGCCAUUUGUAGAGGCCAUCCUUGGUCUUGAAUGCUGUCUUCCAUUCAUCGCUCGGUUGGAUAUGAAUCUGAUGGUAUCCGCUUCGCGAAUCAAUCUUCGAGAACCACUUCUAUCCGUCCAACGUAUCUAGCAUAUCAUCUAGAUGAGGAAUUGAAAAUCUGUACUUGAUGGUUAUUUUGUUGAUGGCGGGACUAUCCACACAUAUGCCAGCUUCCAUCCUUCUUUGGUGUCAAUAAGGCUGGAACACCAUAUGGGCUCAGACUCUCGAAUAUGCCUCUUUUGCAAUAACUCUUCUACCUUUUCUCUCAGAAUCUCAUUCUCCUUAGAAUUCAUACGAUAAUGCGGUAAAUUGGGCAGACUUGCCCCAGGCACUUAAUCAAUUUGAUGCUGAAUAGCCCUCAUAGGUGGGAGCUCAUUAGGCACAUCAUCAGUAAUCAACUCCUCAAACUCCGGUAACGGUUGUAUCAGCUUAGGCAUUCAAUUCACUGCUUCUUUCUUCCACUACUAGCGCCUUCACCACCAAAGCAUAAACCUUUCCUGACUUUUUCAAAUCUGCCACAAACUCAGGUUCGGAACUAGCAAUGGUUAAAAACGAUGACCCCCUCUACUUGAGGUGUUUUGACAGACACUUUAUGAUUACAAGGAACAUAACAAUCUUAUGGGCCUCCUAAUUAAAAUAGUAAGUGUUGUCACGACCCCUAUAAACAACAUCAACAUCAACCUGUUAGGGCCUACCUAACAGUACAUGGCUAACAUCCAUCUCAAUUUCAUCACAUAUAACAUCAGCUCUAUAAAAUUUUCCAAUUGAAAGAGGAAUUUUAGGGACUUUAAUUACCUUCACCGUGGGGCCUUUCUUUAUCCAACCAAUGCUAUAUGGAGAGGGAUGGGGUUCGGUUGGCAACUUUAGAUGCUCCACCAGCCUCUUCGCCACCAAGUUCUUACAACUUCCACUGUCCACGAUCAAGUCACAAACCUUUUGGUUGAUUGAAUAGUUUGACCGAAAGAUGUGUUGUUGGCUGUGAUCCUCUGACCUCGGCACAGAUAGCACCCUCUGCACUACACGGUUCACUCGUUCCCUUUCUUCCUCUGCAUAAUCUGCCCCAUCAUAAGGAUCGUCCUCAGGCCAAUCUUCCACAACCCCAUUUUCUUCCCCUCCUACUAGGUUCAACCUCCGAUUCAGGCAUUCAUUAGACCGGUGGCCAGGUUUGCCACACCUGAACCACUUUUCUGGCAUGGGUUUGGCAUAAGGGUUCUCCUUUUUGGUCACGUCUCCUUUUUGGUCACAUUUCGGUUAUUAGAGAUACCUGCCUGAUUAGCUCCGAAUUUUACUCCACCACCAACAGUGCCCUUCGGUUGAAACGCAGGGCCUGUUGGUUGAGUCGCCUUCCCUUGUUAGGAGUAGGAGCAGAAGACUCCAUUGGACCUCGACAGUAUCCUGAACUAACUAGUUUACGCUCCAACUGCUCGGCCUUCAAUCCAGGUUAUGGGCUUCAUCAACGUCCCAUACUACCUGCAACCUUAUCUUCUCUUGAAUUGAAGGCUUUAGUCCAUUAAUAUAUCUGACUACACGCUGACCCUUCGUCUCAUUCAGUUGUGUAAUCAAACACAAGUCUGGACCAUGCGAACAAUUUUGGUAUGACCGGAACAGGUGUUGAUCAUAGUCAGGCGGUAGAAACCUGUCCAUCAUGAGUUGCUUCAUCCUGCACCAUUUUCGCAUGGAUUCCUUCCCAUGCCUACAUCGCUUUGCCUGCAACUGGUUGUGCUGCCUUUCAAUUUUUCAAUUUGUAAGCGACCAUCUUCACCUUCUUUGACUCAGGAACCUCCAUCAUAUUAAGGAACCUUUCAACCUCAGAAAUCCAGUCAAGGAACUCCUCAAUAUGCAGAUUACCGUUGAACGUGGGAAGAUCCACCUUCAAAUGAUAAUCAUCAAACCACUUUGGUUGUCGUUCGGGUUGUCGGCCUCCCUGCUCUUCCUCAAACUUGGGUUCUAAUUUUUCACUAUCAGAAUGAUGACGAGGGUGGCAUCUUCUAACUUGUCGGUUACCGGGUUGGCCUCGGGUAAAUCCUCUGGUGCACUCCUGAUCCUAGUUAAAAGUUUGACGUAGGGCAAAUCCCUCCGCGCGAUCCUCUUCAACCCUUUCUGGCCUUGAGUUGACGUAUAGAGUCAACACUUGCAGUAGUCCUCAGAUCUCUGUCAACUGUGCCCAUUGGUCCUGCAACUGUGCGGGUUGAUCCUGCAACUGCGUUUGUUGAUCCAACACUCUCUCCCUUAGGUCAGCAAUCCCACGAUCACCGUCAAUGGGGGUUUCUUCAACUGGGUUUGGUGCCAUCGAACCAGGCAAAGCCUUGCUCUGAUACCACUUGACGCAGCGGAAUUCACGAAGAGAUUAGUUGCGUACUAAUCCAAACGAAGUAAACACUUGAAUCCACGAGCAUACCUUGAAAUCCACAAGGAAAGGGAGGAAGAAACUCUAAAAUUUUGUUGAUAGUUGAAUGAAUUACAAGGAGAGUUGCACCCUUAUUUAUACUAGUAGUAGGUCUAGCUAAAAAGAAAAUGCUUGGCUACCAAGAAUAUUACUUCGAGUAGGGACCAAGCAAAAAAUACUUGGCUACCAAGAAUAUAACUUGGAGCAGGGACCAAGCAAAACAAAAUAAGGAAAUAAAAAAAAAAAAACAAAAAACUCUUAGGAAACUAGAAUAUUAAGUAUACUCAAUAAUUAAUUAUUUCCCCUUUGAUUUGGCACGGUCCAAUUGUUCCAGAAAUAUC